Molecule: ribosomal RNA, 566 nt
Filed under: Karenia brevis
Lineage: Eukaryota; Dinophyceae; Gymnodiniales; Kareniaceae
Description: partial Bacterial large subunit ribosomal RNA
Rfam family: Bacterial large subunit ribosomal RNA
Source: RNAcentral
GCGAAAGCGAAUACUAACUAGUGUGUUGAGUGGCAUGUCCUGGACCCGAAGCGGGGUGAUCUACCCAUGGCCAGUGUGAAGCGACGGUAAGACGUCGUGGAGGCGCGAACCCACUUAGGUUAAAAACUGAGGGGAUGAGUUGUGGGUAGGGGUGAAAGGCCAAUCAAACUCGGAAAUAGCUCGUACUCCCCGAAAUGCAUUUAGGUGCAGCGUUGGUUUAGUUUUAUAGAGGUAGAGCUACUGAUUGGAUGCGGGGGCUUCACCGCCUACCAAUUCCUGACAAACUCCGAAUGCUAUAAAAUGAUGACCAGCAGUGAGGGCAUGGGUGCUAAGGUCCAUGUCCGAGAGGGAAAGAACCCAGACCAUCAGCUAAGGUCCCCAAAUGUAUGUUAAGUUGAAUAAACGAGGUUGAACUGCUUAGACAGCUAGGAUGUUGGCUUGGAAGCAGCCAUUCAUUUAAAGAGUGCGUAACAGCUCACUAGUCGAGCGGUUCGGCAUGGAUAAUAAUCGGGCAUAAACAUACUACCGAAGCUAUGGACUUUUAAAAGUGGUAGGGGAGCAUUGUA